GUGUUUUUGUCCUUUUUUGAUACAGUUAAUGUCCAGGGGUCGGUAUUACGAAGCAUUCCUAAGACCUGUCAUAAGAUAUAUCUUAGGACUUGUGUUAUGAUCCUCUUAUGACUAUCUAUGGACAUAUCUUUAUUUGAUGAAUUAUUAUUGUGAGUGUCCACUUUGAAGGCAAUAGUAAAAUACUUUCAUUCUAGUUGACACUAAAAGACAUAAGAGGAUAGCCAGGAUA
This 229-nucleotide long non-coding RNA is filed under the name Mytilus galloprovincialis (Mediterranean mussel). Lineage: Eukaryota; Metazoa; Mollusca; Bivalvia; Mytilida; Mytilidae. The record is from RNAcentral.